RNAcentral lists this ribosomal RNA (250 nucleotides) under uncultured bacterium. Its description in RNAcentral is "partial 16S ribosomal RNA". It matches the Rfam family "Bacterial small subunit ribosomal RNA", at positions 524 to 773 of the family's 1533-position model. The record is from RNAcentral.
UACGGAGGGUGCAAGCGUUAUCCGGAUUCACUGGGUUUAAAGGGUGCGUAGGCGGGCAAUUAAGUCCGUGGUGAAAUACCUGAGCUUAACUUGGGAACUGCCAUGGAUACUAUUUGUCUUGAAUGUCGUGGAGGUUAGCGGAAUAUGUCAUGUAGCGGUGAAAUGCUUAGAUAUGACAUAGAACACCUAUUGCGAAGGCAGCUAACUACGCGAAUAUUGACGCUGAGGCACGAAAGCGUGGGGAUCAAAC